AGGUUUCUGAUUGACUGGUGCAACCUAUCAAGAUCGCCGCUAUGCCAUCAAGUAUCAGUCAACCUUUGGUAGCAUGCAGCAAUAUGCAUAUUACCAUGAGGAAGAUGAGUCAACCUUCCAGCACGUGUUCAAGACAAACGUGCCCAAACCUCUUUACCAGCGUGGUAGAUACAUGCGCAAUCAGCGUAACAUGAAAAACCAGAGGAACCAGAAGGGCCCCCAGAUGCAAGUUCUUGGCAAGGGAAACAAAAGAGAGUUAGUACGAAAG
Penaeus vannamei (Pacific white shrimp) is the source of this 268-nucleotide non-coding RNA. The record is from RefSeq and is a predicted model, not a curated record. Lineage: Eukaryota; Metazoa; Arthropoda; Malacostraca; Decapoda; Penaeidae.